Molecule: ribosomal RNA, 186 nt
Filed under: uncultured bacterium
Lineage: Bacteria
Description: partial 16S ribosomal RNA
Rfam family: Bacterial small subunit ribosomal RNA
Source: RNAcentral
GGGGGUGAAAUCCCUGGGCUUAACGCAGGACCUGCACUCAAAACUGAAAGGCUAGAGGCCGAGAGAGGUGAGUGGAAUGUCCAGUGUAGAGGUGAAAUUCGUAGAUAUUGGAAAGAACACCAGUGGCGAAGGCGGCUCACUGGCUCGGUACUGACGCUGAGGUGCGACAGCGUGGGGAGCAAACAG